UUCUGUGGUUAGCUUGCAAAGGGCUGUCACCUCAUCUUGCUGGUAGACCAUUUCCUCUCUAGCUUCCUCACUCUGAUAGAGCAAGUGCCAUGCUGGAGAGGCGCCUGCGGCAGGGGACUGAGAGAGAAGCCUCUAGCUAACAGCCAGAGAAGAACCCAAGUGUCCAAUCUACUAGGCCACAGGGAGCUGAAUCCUGUCAACAAGCUCGUGACCUUGGAAGUGGACCCUUCUCCAGCUGAGCCUUCAGAUUCUUACAGCCCAGCUCACACUGUGAGUGCAGCCUGGGAGUUGACCCAGAAACAGAGGGCCCAGUGAAACCACACCGGGGGUUCUAGACCUACAGACACUGGAAUGAAACACAGUGCAGCAGCGUCGUCCCUGGGCAGGGGAAUGAGAGCCCCUGGCAUCUGUCUCCUCGGGCGGGCCUCCGAUGCCUACGCUGUGCUCCAGCCAAAAACCACUGGAAAGAAGCAUGAAAUCGGAGAAAAGGAAACCAGGAGGGGAGGAUCAAAGGCAGCACCAUGGACUUAAAAGCAAUAAAAGAGCUUGUGAGGGGCCGGGGACCAGGGCCGCGCAUUACCAACACGCCGGCAGGGGUGCAGGAGAAAGGAAGCCGCGGAAGGUCAAACUAGGGGAAUUUCACAUCUUGGCUAAAUGUUCAUUAAAUAAUUUGUCAUACA
Long non-coding RNA from Mustela lutreola (European mink), 680 nucleotides. RefSeq lists it as uncharacterized. The record is from RefSeq and is a predicted model, not a curated record. The transcript has 2 exons. Lineage: Eukaryota; Metazoa; Chordata; Mammalia; Carnivora; Mustelidae.